UGGAGGACCGAACCGACUAAUGUUGAAAAAUUAGCGGAUGACCUGUGGCUGGGGGUGAAAGGCCAAUCAAACCGGGAGAUAGCUGGUUCUCCCCGAAAGCUAUUUAGGUAGCGCCUCGUGAAUUCAUCUCCGGGGGUAGAGCACUGUUUCGGCUAGGGGGCCAUCCCGGCUUACCAACCCGAUGCAAACUGCGAAUACCGGAGAAUGUUAUCACGGGAGACACACGGCGGGUGCUAACGUCCGUCGUGAAGAGGGAAACAACCCAGACCGCCAGCUAAGGUCCCAAAGUCAUGGUUAAGUGGGAAACGAUGUGGGAAGGCCCAGACAGCCAGGAUGUUGGCUUAGAAGCAGCCAUCAUUUAAAGAAAGCGUAAUAGCUCACUGGUCGAGUCGGCCUGCGCGGAAGAUGUAACGGGGCUAAACCAUGCACCGAAGCUGCGGCAGCGACGCUGAUGCGUUGUUGGGUAGGGGAGCGUUCUGUAAGCCUGUGAAGGUGGCCUGUGAGGGUUGCUGGAGGUAUCAGAAGUGCGAAUGCUGACAUAAGUAACGAUAAAGCGGGUGAAAAGCCCGCUCGCCGGAAGACCAAGGGUUCCUGUCCAACGUUAAUCGGGGCAGGGUGAGUCGACCCCUAAGGCGAGGCCGAAAGGCGUAGUCGAUGGGAAACGGGUUAAUAUUCCCGUACUUGGUGUUACUGCGAAGGGGGGACGGAGAAGGCUAUGUUGGCCGGGCGACGGUUGUCCCGGUUUAAGCGUGUAGGUGUGUGUUCCAGGUAAAUCCGGUUCACUUUAACACUGAGGCGUGAUGACGAGGCACUACGGUGCUGAAGCAACAAAUGCCCUGCUUCCAGGAAAAGCCUCUAAGCAUCAGGUAACAUCAAAUCGUACCCCAAACCGACACAGGUGGUCAGGUAGAGAAUACCAAGGCGCUUGAGAGAACUCGGGUGAAGGAACUAGGCAAAAUGGUGCCGUAACUUCGGGAGAAGGCACGCUGACACGUAGGUGAAGUGAUUUACUCAUGGAGCUGAAGUCAGUCGAAGAUACCAGCUGGCUGCAACUGUUUAUUAAAAACACAGCACUGUGCAAACACGAAAGUGGACGUAUACGGUGUGACGCCUGCCCGGUGCCGGAAGGUUAAUUGAUGGGGUCAGCGCAAGCGAAGCUCCUGAUCGAAGCCCCGGUAAACGGCGGCCGUAACUAUAACGGUCCUAAGGUAGCGAAAUUCCUUGUCGGGUAAGUUCCGACCUGCACGAAUGGCGUAAUGAUGGCCAGGCUGUCUCCACCCGAGACUCAGUGAAAUUGAACUCGCUGUGAAGAUGCAGUGUACCCGCGGCAAGACGGAAAGACCCCGUGAACCUUUACUAUAGCUUGACACUGAACAUUGAGCCUUGAUGUGUAG
This 1394-nucleotide ribosomal RNA is filed under the name Salmonella enterica subsp. enterica serovar Paratyphi B var. L(+) tartrate +. RNAcentral describes it as "partial 23S ribosomal RNA". It matches the Rfam family "Bacterial large subunit ribosomal RNA", at positions 767 to 2141 of the family's 2925-position model. Lineage: Bacteria; Pseudomonadati; Pseudomonadota; Gammaproteobacteria; Enterobacterales; Enterobacteriaceae. The record is from RNAcentral.